AACGAACGCUGGCGGCAUGCCUAACACAUGCCAGUCGAACGAGACCUUCGGGUCUAGUGGCGCACGGGUGCGUAACGCGUGGGAACCUGCCCUUAGGUUCGGAAUAACUCCCCGAAAGGGGUGCUAAUACCGGAUAAUGUCUUCGGACCAAAGAUUUAUCGCCUUUGGAUGGGCCCGCGUUGGAUUAGCUAGUUGGUAGGGUAAAAGCCUACCAAGGCGACGAUCCAUAGCUGGUCUGAGAGGAUGAUCAGCCACACUGGGACUGAGACACGGCCCAGACUCCUACGGGAGGCAGCAGUGGGGAAUAUUGGACAAUGGGCGAAAGCCUGAUCCAGCAAUGCCGCGUGAGUGAUGAAGGCCUUAGGGUUGUAAAGCCCUUUUACCCGGGAUGAUAAUGACAGUACCGGGAGAAUAGGCUCCGGCUAACUCCGUG
Molecule: ribosomal RNA, 433 nt
Filed under: uncultured bacterium
Lineage: Bacteria
Description: partial 16S ribosomal RNA
Rfam family: Bacterial small subunit ribosomal RNA
Source: RNAcentral